This 505-nucleotide ribosomal RNA is filed under the name uncultured bacterium. RNAcentral's name for it is "bacterial SSU rRNA". It matches the Rfam family "Bacterial small subunit ribosomal RNA", at positions 1 to 526 of the family's 1533-position model. The record is from RNAcentral.
ACUAGCAGUAAGAGUUUGAUCAGUGGCUCAGGACGAACGCUGGCGGUGUGCUUCACACAUGCAAGUCGAACGGUAGCAAUACAGUGGCGGACGGGUGAGUAACACGUGGGAAUCUGCCUUUAGAUGGGGGAUAGCAGGCCGAAAGGCCUAUUAAUACCGCAUAUGCCGAAAGGUGAAAGGAGCAAUCCGUCUGAAGAUGAGCCCGCGUCCGAUUAGCUAGUUGGUGGGGUAAAGGCCUACCAAGGCGACGAUCCUUAGCUGGUCUGAGAGGAUGAUCAGCCACACUGGGACUGAGACACGGCCCAGACUCCUACGGGAGGCAGCAGUGGGGAAUUUUGGACAAUGGGCGAAAGCCUGAUCCAGCGAUGCCGCGUGGGUGAAGAAGGCCUUCGGGUUGUAAAGCCCUUUCGGCAGGGAAGAAAAGUCCGGAGCUAAUACCUCCGGGUCUUGACGUUACCUGCGGAAGAAGCACCGGCUAACUCCGUGCCAGCAGCCGCGGUAAUAC